Molecule: ribosomal RNA, 496 nt
Filed under: Arabidopsis thaliana (thale cress)
Lineage: Eukaryota; Viridiplantae; Streptophyta; Magnoliopsida; Brassicales; Brassicaceae
Source: RNAcentral
GGCAAACUUGGCAUGUGAUACCUUUUCGGAAAGCCCAAAGAGAGCCCUCCGACGAAAGAAGCAAGACAAUGGAAUUUUUCCAUUGACUUUUUGUCGACUCCAAAUUUUGACCUUUAAGUACUUUUUCGGGCAUUUUCGUGAUUUGUGCUAUAUUACGGACCCAAAAUUACUUUUUCAAGCAUUGUUUUCGAAUAUUUUUCAUGCAUCAAAGCUCGUUAAGACUAGAUGGGGUAUCCCUACAUGGCGGGUGGGACCCACGGCGAACGGUUCAUCAAGACUUAAAAAAAGAAUAUAUACGAUUGCAUUGCAUAUACUAACGGAUGCGAUCAUACCAGCACUAAUGCACCGGAUCCCAUAAGAACUCCGCAGUUAAGCGUGCUUGGGCGAGAGUAGUACUAGGAUGGGUGACCUCCCGGGAAGUCCUCGUGUUGCAUCCCUCUUUUUUUUUUUUUUUUUUUGGUUAAAACUUUAUGACUCCAUAACUUCUACACCGAAU